Molecule: long non-coding RNA, 591 nt
Filed under: Malus domestica (apple)
Lineage: Eukaryota; Viridiplantae; Streptophyta; Magnoliopsida; Rosales; Rosaceae
Description: long non-coding RNA (MDOM_LNC014855)
Source: RNAcentral
CCUGCAGCCACCCCCAAAGGAACAUUUGGGCCUUGCCUUAUACUUAAGGCACCCAACCCGUGCCUCUUAACCCCCAGCAUUAAGCCCAAUUAUUUUUGGGGCUCUAUUUUCGAUCCAAUAAUAUUAUUUUAAUAUUAUUUUGCUUCUACGAUCGACCCCGAAUGGUCCCGAUCUAUUGAAUUAAUUCAAAGUGACCUGCAGUCCAUUAAUCUGAUACUGAAUCCAAAAUUAUUGACCUAAAGAUCUCUUUUGGACAUUAACGAUUCAAUAAUUUAUUUCUCUUCUUUGAACCGUCACAUACUUUCGUAGUAACGAAGCUCUCACACUUGAGUUCCCGAAGACAACUCAAAUCCACUACACUAAGUUAGUAUAUUGCAUUAUGAGUUUCUUGCAGGAACCUCUCCUUUAUGAACUAAACGUGUUGGAAAUGUGCCCUAAAGCCAAUCAUAUGAUGAUACUUUACGGACAUUUCACAUGUUAAACUAAUCUAGUUUUACAUAUAAAGGGCAAAGAUUAUCGUUUGAGCCGUCUCAUAUAAAUGUUAUAUGCUUAAACGAUAAAGUCCAAGGAAUAUGUGAUUGGGAGAAUGUA